CAGGGAGACAACAAAAUGUUUAAUAUUAUUAUUUUGUCACCUUAGGUCGAUCGGUAUCUCACGUUUUUAAUUUAUUAAGAAUUUCAUUUCCUAAGUUUUUCUAGGUCACACCCAUUAUUUUUCCUGGGCCAUUAGCUCAGGUGGUUAGAGCGCACCCCUGAUAAGGGUGAGGUCCCUGGUUCAAGUCCAGGAUGGCCCAUAUCUCUAUGUUGGGGGUAUAGCUCAGUUGGUAGAGCGCCUGCUUUGCAAGCAGGAUGUCAGCGGUUCGAGUCCGCUUACCUCCACUGAUCACCACCUCUUCCAUAACCGGUAGAAAGGAAAUUUUUUGAGUUGUGAUCAAAUUCUGAAAGAAUCUAGCUUCCUAAUGAAAUCAUUAAGAUGCUGGACUCAUUGAAUUAAUUUCAUUGUUUUCAGAGAACCUUGACAACUGCAUAGAUUAUUUUUAAAGACAACAAGCAUCUUUAAUGAUGCAGAUUUAUUAUUUGUGCAAAUGCAUUAAUAACAAUUCUAUUAAGCUGAUGCUUCAAUAUUUGAAGUUAUU
Molecule: transfer RNA, 541 nt
Filed under: uncultured cyanobacterium
Lineage: Bacteria; Bacillati; Cyanobacteriota
Description: partial 16S-23S ribosomal RNA intergenic spacer
Rfam family: tRNA (bases 212-284)
Source: RNAcentral